Molecule: non-coding RNA, 216 nt
Filed under: Rhizobium sp.
Lineage: Bacteria; Pseudomonadati; Pseudomonadota; Alphaproteobacteria; Hyphomicrobiales; Rhizobiaceae
Source: RNAcentral
GUAUUGGUUUGGAUCGAUGGUGCUGCUUUCACGAGGAAUAGGAAGCGGCUGAAAAGGGAACACGGUGAGGACGACCCAACACGGGGCCGAAACCGUGGCUGCCCCCGCAACUGUAAGCGGAGAGUGCAUUCACGUUAUCCCACUGGCGAAAGCCGGGAAGGGGUGAAUGCGCAUCGACCCGCAAGCCAGGAGACCUGCCAUCAAACCGAUCAACCG